UACGAAGGGGGCUAGCGUUGUUCGGAAUUACUGGGCGUAAAGUGUGCGCAGGCGGCCGCGCAAGUCGAGUGUGAAAGCCCCGGGCUUAACUUGGGAAUUGCGCUCGAAACUACGUGGCUGGAGUGUGGCAGAGGAAGGUGGAAUUCCACGUGUAGCGGUGAAAUGCGUAGAGAUGUGGAGGAACACCAAUGGCGAAGGCAGCCUUCUGGGCCAACACUGACGCUCAUGCACGAAAGCGUGGGGAGCAAACAGG
This 253-nucleotide ribosomal RNA is filed under the name uncultured bacterium. RNAcentral describes it as "partial 16S ribosomal RNA". It matches the Rfam family "Bacterial small subunit ribosomal RNA", at positions 524 to 776 of the family's 1533-position model. The record is from RNAcentral.